UUGCAGUUAAAAAGCUCGUAGUUGGAUUUCUGAUUGUGGUUGGAUGUAUUGGCCGCGCUGCGGUCAGACACCAUACUACGAUCAAAACAUGUGAUGAUUGGGUGUGGUUGAUUCAUUUUGAUCCGCCCUUAAAUCGCUCGUUUACUUUGAGAAAAUUAGAGUGUUCAAAGCAGGCAUUGUGCUUGAAUAUGUUAGCAUGGAAUAAUAGCAUAGGACUUCAUGUUCUAUUUGUUGGUUGUUCGAGAACUAGAGUAAUGAUUGAUAGGGACGGUUGGGGGCAUCCGUAUUCUCAAGCGAGAGGUGAAAUUCUUGGACCUUGGGAAGACGAACAGCUGCGAAAGCGUUUGCCUAGGACGUUCUCUUUAAUCAAGAACGAAAGUUGGGGGAUCGAAGACGAUCAGAUACCGUCGUAGUCUCAACUAUAAACUAUGCCAGCUAGGGAUCGGUGGUACUUCGUCACGAGUCCAUCGGCACCUUACGAGAAAUCAAAGCAUUUGGGUUCCGGGGGGAGUAUGGUCGCAAGGCUGAAACUUAAAGGAAUUGACGGAAGGGCACCACCAGGAGUGGAGCCUGUGGCUUAAUUUGACUCAACAAC
This 595-nucleotide ribosomal RNA is filed under the name uncultured marine eukaryote. Its description in RNAcentral is "bacterial SSU rRNA". It matches the Rfam family "Eukaryotic small subunit ribosomal RNA", at positions 613 to 1206 of the family's 1831-position model. The record is from RNAcentral.